Molecule: ribosomal RNA, 777 nt
Filed under: Microbacterium aurantiacum
Lineage: Bacteria; Bacillati; Actinomycetota; Actinomycetes; Micrococcales; Microbacteriaceae
Description: partial 16S ribosomal RNA
Rfam family: Bacterial small subunit ribosomal RNA
Source: RNAcentral
CAGGAUGAACGCUGGCGGCGUGCUUAACACAUGCAAGUCGAACGGUGAAGCCAAGCUUGCUUGGUGGAUCAGUGGCGAACGGGUGAGUAACACGUGAGCAACCUGCCCUGGACUCUGGGAUAAGCGCUGGAAACGGCGUCUAAUACUGGAUAUGAGACGUGAUCGCAUGGUCGUGUUUGGAAAGAUUUUUCGGUCUGGGAUGGGCUCGCGGCCUAUCAGCUUGUUGGUGAGGUAAUGGCUCACCAAGGCGUCGACGGGUAGCCGGCCUGAGAGGGUGACCGGCCACACUGGGACUGAGACACGGCCCAGACUCCUACGGGAGGCAGCAGUGGGGAAUAUUGCACAAUGGGCGAAAGCCUGAUGCAGCAACGCCGCGUGAGGGAUGACGGCCUUCGGGUUGUAAACCUCUUUUAGCAGGGAAGAAGCGAAAGUGACGGUACCUGCAGAAAAAGCGCCGGCUAACUACGUGCCAGCAGCCGCGGUAAUACGUAGGGCGCAAGCGUUAUCCGGAAUUAUUGGGCGUAAAGAGCUCGUAGGCGGUUUGUCGCGUCUGCUGUGAAAUCCCGAGGCUCAACCUCGGGCCUGCAGUGGGUACGGGCAGACUAGAGUGCGGUAGGGGAGAUUGGAAUUCCUGGUGUAGCGGUGGAAUGCGCAGAUAUCAGGAGGAACACCGAUGGCGAAGGCAGAUCUCUGGGCCGUAACUGACGCUGAGGAGCGAAAGGGUGGGGAGCAAACAGGCUUAGAUACCCUGGUAGUCCACCCCGUAAACGUUGGGAA